This is a long non-coding RNA of Canis lupus familiaris (dog), 1579 nucleotides long. RefSeq lists it as uncharacterized. NCBI's taxonomy places the organism in Eukaryota, Metazoa, Chordata, Mammalia, Carnivora, Canidae. The transcript is spliced from 5 exons. The record is from RefSeq and is a predicted model, not a curated record.
AAUGUUUCUUUUUUCUUUCAGACUUAUUGUCCAACUAACUCAUUUCAUGUGAAAACCCUAAACUGUCUUCAUUACUAGUUUAUAAGCAUAGAAGGAGCUGGAGAAUUCUGAGUAUCAAAAUGAAGUACCAAAGCACAUGCAUGACCAGACUGAAAGAUGGUUGUGUUCUGUACAGCGGCCAUAUUCUGAUGGAUUCUGGAAGACAGAGGGAUGAGACAAGCGGCUGCUGGAGUAUCUCCAACAGUCUCGGAAGCCACAAGUUGAAGAUGGUAGAGACACCAGAUGGAAAGAAGUUGCAUCCCUGAGUUGCUGCUUAGAUGAGAACUGCCUACUCAUCAGGGGCACCUGUUUGGGACUUUAAUCAAUUCUCUACCAUCGGCCUCCAACUGUCUUCUCAACCCAGAGGAGACUUGACCUUUAGAUGGGAGACUGGAGAAGAUCACCUGGGUUGGGAUCCUCCCAACCAGAAGAUUGUCUAAUUGCAUGAUGUACUUCCACUGCUGCCAGAUUUCUAGAAGCAGUUUUCCACACUUGGUGUUCUCACCUCCACCUCGGUCUUCAGCAUCACCUGGCUUCUGGCUCCAUCACACCAGCAGAAGGCUCCCGCAAAGGUCAUCAUUGACAUCUCCAUGAUGGGACCCAAAGGCUGCUUUAAGUCCUUGCCUAGGUAAUUCAGAUUCUACAGCACUGCUGACCAUUCCCUCCUUUUCCUCCUGACUUUUGUGACUCAGCAUUCUCCCGGUUUCCCAUGGAUCUCCUAGCCAUUCCUUCUUUGUCUCCUUUGCAACUUCUUCCUCCUCUACCAUGCCAUUAAGCAUCAGAAUUCUCAACUCUUUGCUCUAGUACCUCUUCAUUUUCUGCUCUGUGUUUCUCUCCAGGCCAGUGGCACUCAAAUGUAGCUGCACCUGGAGAAUCACACUUAAAUACUUCUCUAAAAAAGUAAACGAAGAAUUUAUGGGGGUGGAGCUCUUAGUGUGUUCCAAAGUUUUAAGGAUUUAUGGGAAUGAAUAUUUGGAAAUUGGGAAACCUGGUUCUUGGAAGCAAAGACUGAUAAAAGGCAACUCAUAAUCCAAGAUUGCACUUGUUUUUCAAGGGACUUUAUUUUUUGAGAGCAGUUCUAUAUUUGUUUCAAAAUUGAGCAGAAAGUACAGUUUCCAUAUACCUUCUUUCCCCACAAAUGCAUAACCUCCCCAUUGUCAGCGUCCUCCACUAGAGUGGUAUAAUCCAUGAGCCUGCACUGACACAUCAUCACCACCCAUAGUCCACAGUUUACAUAUGAUUCAUUCUUGAUGUCGUGUAGUCAUAGGGUUUGACAAAUGUAUAAUGAAAUGUAUCUGUUAUUAUAGUGUCAUACAGAAUGGUUUCACUGCAUCAAAAUUAAUCUGUGUUCUGCCUAUUUACCUCUCCUUCCUCCCUAAUCCCUGACAACCACUAACUUACUUACUGUCUCCCAAAUUUUCCUUUUUUUUUUCAGAAUUUUAUAUAGUUGGAACCAUAGGAUAUUAGCCAGAAUGGCCUCUUUCACUUAGUCAUAUGCAUGUAAGGUUCUUUCAUGUAUUUUCAGGGCUCGAUGGUUCAU